UGGUCAAGUUAUUAAGGGUGCAGGGCGGAUGCCUUGGCACUAGGAGCCGAUGAAGGACGUGAUAAGCUGCGAUAAGCUUCGGGGAGUUGCACGUAAACUUUGAUCCGAAGAUUUCCGAAUGAGGAAACUCACUUAGAGUAAUGUCUAAGUAUCAUUAAGUGAAUACAUAGCUUAAUGAGGGGAACUCAGGGAACUGAAACAUCUAAGUACCUGAAGGAAGAGAAAGAAAUUCGAUUCCGUAAGUAGCGGCGAGCGAACGCGGAUUAGCCCAAACCAAUAAAGUUUUCUUUAUUGGGGUUGAGGACAUACCACAUAUAAGAGGUCAUUAUAGACGAAGAAGUUUGGAAAAACUCAUCAUAGAAGGUAAUAAUCCUGUAGUCAAAAUAAUAAUUCUUUAGG
Molecule: ribosomal RNA, 399 nt
Filed under: Clostridioides difficile
Lineage: Bacteria; Bacillati; Bacillota; Clostridia; Peptostreptococcales; Peptostreptococcaceae
Description: partial 23S ribosomal RNA
Rfam family: Bacterial large subunit ribosomal RNA
Source: RNAcentral